RNAcentral lists this ribosomal RNA (252 nucleotides) under uncultured microorganism. RNAcentral describes it as "partial 16S ribosomal RNA". It matches the Rfam family "Bacterial small subunit ribosomal RNA", at positions 524 to 776 of the family's 1533-position model. The record is from RNAcentral.
UACGUAGGUCCCGAGCGUUGUCCGGAUUUAUUGGGCGUAAAGCGAGCGCAGGUGGUUUAUUAAGUCUGGUGUAAAAGGCAGUGGCUCAACCAUUGUAUGCAUUGGAAACUGGAGGACUUGAGUGCAGAAGGGGAGAGUGGAAUUCCAUGUGUAGCGGUGAAAUGCGUAGAUAUAUGGAGGAACACCGGUGGCGAAAGCGGCUCUCUGGUCUGUAACUGACGCUGAGGCUCGAAAGCGUGGGGAGCAAACAGG